CGGAGCGUGGCGCAGUCCGGUAGCGCACCUGGUUUGGGACCAGGGGGUCGGGAGUUCAAAUCUCCCCGCUCCGA
Molecule: transfer RNA, 74 nt
Filed under: Fidelibacterota bacterium
Lineage: Bacteria; Pseudomonadati; Fidelibacterota
Description: tRNA-Pro
Rfam family: tRNA
About the family: Transfer RNA (tRNA) molecules are approximately 80 nucleotides in length. Their secondary structure includes four short double-helical elements and three loops (D, anti-codon, and T loops).
Source: RNAcentral